UGAGGAAUAUUGGGCAAUGCCCGCAAGGGUGACACAGCAACGCCGCGUGGAGGAUGAAUGUCGUAAGAUUGUAAACUCCUGUUAGAGGGGAAGAAUAGUACCGGUUGGACCGGUAUAUGACUGUACCCUCAGAGAAAGCCCCGGCUAACUACGUGCCAGCAGCCGCGGUAAUACGUAGGGGGCAAGCGUUGUCCGGAUUUACUGGGUGUAAAGGGCGCGCAGGCGGGAUAAAAAGUCAGUGGUGAAAUCCUACAGCUUAACUGUAGAACUGCCUUUGAUACUUUUAUUCUUGAGUUCGGGAGAGAGAGACGGAAUUCCAGGUGUAGUGGUGAAAUACGUAGAUAUCUGGAAGAACACCAGUUGCGAAGGCGGUCUCUUGGUCCGACACUGACGCUGAGGCGCGAAAGCGUGGGGAGCAAACA
RNAcentral lists this ribosomal RNA (422 nucleotides) under uncultured bacterium. RNAcentral's name for it is "bacterial SSU rRNA". It matches the Rfam family "Bacterial small subunit ribosomal RNA", at positions 355 to 774 of the family's 1533-position model. The record is from RNAcentral.